GACGAACGCUGGCGGCGUGCUUAACACAUGCAAGUCGAACGAGAAACUUAUAAAUGAUCCUUCGGGUGAAUCUAUAAGCGGACAGUGGCGAACGGGUGAGUAACGCGUAGGUAACCAACCUCAUGCAGGGGGAUAGCCCAGGGAAACUUGGAUUAAACCCGCAUAAGACCACAGCACCGCAUGGUGCAGGGGUAAAAACUCCGGUGGCAUGAGACGGACCUGCGUCUUAUUAGGUAGUUGGUGAGGUAACGGCUCACCAAGCCAACGAUGAGUAGCCGACCUGAGAGGGUGAUCGGCCACAUUGGGACUGAGACACGGCCCAGACUCCUACGGGAGGCAGCAGUGGGGAAUAUUGCGCAAUGGGGGAAACCCUGACGCAGCAACGCCGCGUGAGCGAUGAAGGUUUUCGGAUCGUAAAGCUC
RNAcentral lists this ribosomal RNA (422 nucleotides) under uncultured bacterium. RNAcentral's name for it is "bacterial SSU rRNA". It matches the Rfam family "Bacterial small subunit ribosomal RNA", at positions 28 to 433 of the family's 1533-position model. The record is from RNAcentral.